RNAcentral lists this ribosomal RNA (292 nucleotides) under uncultured bacterium. Its description in RNAcentral is "partial 16S ribosomal RNA". It matches the Rfam family "Bacterial small subunit ribosomal RNA", at positions 505 to 796 of the family's 1533-position model. The record is from RNAcentral.
GUGCCAGCAGCCGCGGUAAUACAGAGGUCCCGAGCGUUGUUCGGAUUCAUUGGGCGUAAAGGGUGCGUAGGCGGUCUUCUAAGUUUGAUGUGAAAUCCCGGGGCUCAACCCUGGAAUUGCAUUGAAUACUGGAGGACUAGAGUACCGGAGAGGAAACUGGAAUUUACGGUGUAGCAGUGAAAUGCGUAGAGAUCGUAAGGAAGACCAGUGGCGAAGGCGAGUUUCUGGACGGUAACUGACGCUGAGGCACGAAGGCCAGGGGAGCAAACGGGAUUAGAUACCCCGGUAGUCC